GCUGGGCGCGGUGGCUCACGCCUGUAAUCCCAGCUACUUGGGAGGCUGAGGUGGGAGAAUGGCUUGAACCUGGGAGGCAGAGGUUGCAGUGAGCCGAGAUGGCGCCCCUGCACUCCAGCCUGGGUGAGAGAGACACUGGCUCCCACCUCAAGAUCGUUUUAGUUGGUCCAGUGUAAGCCUGGGUAUCUGGACUUUUUUAUUUUUUAUUUUUAUUUUUUGAGACGGCGUCUUGCUCUGUCACCCAGGCUGGAGUGCAAUGGCGCAAUCUCGGGUCACUGCAACCUCUGCCUCCCAGGUUCAAGUGAUUCUCCCGCCUCAG
This is a non-coding RNA of Homo sapiens (human), 319 nucleotides long. It matches the Rfam family "Metazoan signal recognition particle RNA". Rfam says of the family: The signal recognition particle (SRP) is a universally conserved ribonucleoprotein. It is involved in the co-translational targeting of proteins to membranes. Lineage: Eukaryota; Metazoa; Chordata; Mammalia; Primates; Hominidae. The record is from Rfam.